Molecule: ribosomal RNA, 468 nt
Filed under: uncultured bacterium
Lineage: Bacteria
Description: partial 16S ribosomal RNA
Rfam family: Bacterial small subunit ribosomal RNA
Source: RNAcentral
GACGAACGCUGGCGGCGUGCUUAACACAUGCAAGUCGAACGGAAAGGCCCAGCUUUUGUGGGGUGCUCGAGUGGCGAACGGGUGAGUAACACGUGAGUAACCUGCCCUUGACUUUGGGAUAACUUCAGGAAACUGGGGCUAAUACCGGAUAGGAGCUCCUGCUGCAUGGUGGGGGUUGGAAAGUUUCGGCGGUUGGGGAUGGACUCGCGGCUUAUCAGCUUGUUGGUGGGGUAGUGGCUUACCAAGGCUUUGACGGGUAGCCGGCCUGAGAGGGUGACAGGCCACAUUGGGACUGAGAUACGGCCCAGACUCCUACGGGAGGCAGCAGUGGGGAAUAUUGCACAAUGGGCGGAAGCCUGAUGCAGCAACGCCGCGUGCGGGAUGACGGCCUUCGGGUUGUAAACCGCUUUCGCCUGUGACGAAGCGUGAGUGACGGUAAUGGGUAAAGAAGCACCGGCUAACUACGUG